This 497-nucleotide ribosomal RNA is filed under the name uncultured bacterium. Its description in RNAcentral is "partial 16S ribosomal RNA". It matches the Rfam family "Bacterial small subunit ribosomal RNA", at positions 28 to 507 of the family's 1533-position model. The record is from RNAcentral.
GAUGAACGCUGGCGGCGUGCCUAAUACAUGCAAGUCGAGCGAACAGAUGAGGAGCUUGCUCCUCUGACGUUAGCGGCGGACGGGUGAGUAACACGUGGAUAACCUACCUAUAAGACUGGGAUAACUUCGGGAAACCGGAGCUAAUACCGGAUAAUAUAUUGAACCGCAUGGUUCAAUAGUGAAAGACGGUUUUGCUGUCACUUAUAGAUGGAUCCGCGCCGCAUUAGCUAGUUGGUAAGGUAACGGCUUACCAAGGCAACGAUGCGUAGCCGACCUGAGAGGGUGACCGGCCAACCUGGAACUGCAACACGCUCCCGACUCCUACGGGAGGAAGCAGUAGGGAAUCUUCCGCAAUGGGCGAAAGCUUGACGGAGCAACGCCGCGUGAGUGAUGAAGGUCUCCGGAUCGUAAAACUCUGUUAUUAGGGAAGAACAAAUGUGUACGUAACUAUGCACGUCUUGACGGUACCUUAUCAGAAAGCCCCGGCUAACUACGUG